AAGCGAGUUUUAACUGAGCGUUCAGUUACUGGACGUAGACCCGAAACCGGGCGACCGACCCAUGAGCAGGAUGAAGCGAAAGUAAAAUUUCGUGGAGGUCCGAACCCACGGGCGUUGAAAAGCUCGGGGAUGACUUGUGGGUAGCGGUGAAAUUCCAAUCGAGCCCGGAGAUAGCUGGUUCUCCCCGAAAUAGCUUUAGGGCUAGCCUCAAGGUGAGAGAUACGGAGGUAGAGCACUGAAUGUCCUAGGGGGUAUUGCACCUACCGAAGACUAUCAAACUCCGAAU
RNAcentral lists this ribosomal RNA (286 nucleotides) under Clostridioides difficile. RNAcentral describes it as "partial 23S ribosomal RNA". It matches the Rfam family "Bacterial large subunit ribosomal RNA", at positions 675 to 961 of the family's 2925-position model. The record is from RNAcentral. Lineage: Bacteria; Bacillati; Bacillota; Clostridia; Peptostreptococcales; Peptostreptococcaceae.